This 223-nucleotide ribosomal RNA is filed under the name uncultured bacterium. RNAcentral describes it as "partial 16S ribosomal RNA". It matches the Rfam family "Bacterial small subunit ribosomal RNA", at positions 524 to 745 of the family's 1533-position model. The record is from RNAcentral.
UACGGGGGGGGCAAGCGUUGUUCGGAAUUACUGGGCGUAAAGGGCCAGUAGGCGGCCAACUAAGUCCGACGUGAAAUCCCAAGGCUUAACCUUGGAACUGCGUCUGAUACUGGAUGGCUUGAGUUUGGGAGAGGGACGCGGAAUUCCAGGUGUAGCGGUGAAAAUGCGUAGAUAUCUGGAGGAACACCGGUGGCGAAGGCGGCGUCCUGGACCAACACUGACA